CCCCUUGCCCCGGCGCCGCCCCGGCCCUAUCUUCACAUCUGUCUUUCGGGACUAUGGACAUAAACGCGCACGCAAUAAGCGGAUCGGACCCGGGGGCGGUACCCGGCGGCUCCACCAAAUGCCCUUUGUUGGGGGGAUAAUGGGGCCGAAACAGGAUCGACGAACGUCUAAAGGUGUAGCUUUGUCCCGGUGAGGUACCACCGUUAUCGGUCCGUACAGUACAAUUGCCAACAACAAUCGUGCUCCGAUCGCCCUGGCUGCGUAAGCAGUCCGGAAGAUCGAAAUCUAAGCCCUUGCGCCUAGCAGUGUAAGGCGGGGUUCGCAGGCACCUGGCAACAGAAGCCUGCACU
RNAcentral lists this transfer-messenger RNA (350 nucleotides) under Pseudoroseicyclus tamaricis. Its description in RNAcentral is "Alphaproteobacteria transfer-messenger RNA". It matches the Rfam family "Alphaproteobacteria transfer-messenger RNA". From Rfam's summary of the family: Bacterial tmRNA, also known as 10Sa RNA or SsrA, is named for its dual tRNA and mRNA-like properties. Its role is to liberate the mRNA from a stalled ribosome. To accomplish this part of the tmRNA is used as a reading frame that ends in a translation stop signal. Lineage: Bacteria; Pseudomonadati; Pseudomonadota; Alphaproteobacteria; Rhodobacterales; Paracoccaceae. The record is from Rfam by way of RNAcentral.